UCUACCUCCAGGGUUCAAACAAUUCUCCUGCCUCAGCCUCCCAAGUAGCUGGGACUACAGGUGUACACCUCCACACCUGGCUAAUUUUUUUGGUAUUUUAGUAGACACAGGGAUUCACCGUGUUGCCCAGGCUGGUCUCGAACUCCUGAGCUCAGGCAAUCUGCCUGCCUUGGCCUCCCAAAGUGCUAGGAUUACAGGCAUGAGCAACCGCGCCUGGCCAAGUUACUUCCUUUAUAGGAUUAAACUGGAGAGGACUCCCUUAUCAUGCCUGCUCAGGAAAGUAAACAAACAAGUGACCAAGGAAGACUGUGGAAUUACAUGGCUCCUUCAAACCCAGCUCCCUAAGACCAGAUUUCAUUUUAGGCUUAUUUACCCUUGGAACGAUAGAACCUAUUUGUAACGUCCUUGACUAAGAAUGGCUCUGGAAUAGAAAUGAGAACUGGUGGAAGUAAGAGGAGCCAGACCCGCGCAGGGCAUUGCUGGCCAGAGAUGCUGCUGACUUCAUCUCCGUACUCAGCAAAGGCACCAUCGAAAUUCAUCAAGAGAAGGCCAAGAGGUGUGGUUUGGCACUGUUGGUGCUCAGAAUGCAACAUCCCGAAGUAUGGUACUUUGGCAUGCUGAGUACUUUGUCCUAAGGAGAUUGGCAGGCCUCAGAAGCAAGAUCUCUCCGACCUUCUCCUGCUCUCCUGUCUCCCACCUGUUUUUCUCCCUCUGGAGGAAGUCACAGAAAUCAGAAUUCGUCCUCUGCAAGACUCUCAUUCCAGAGGGGUCUUGCACCGUAACCAUGAGGAAGGAAUGCUACACAGAGGCCAAGAACAACCUGAAGAGGCAGGCCUUGCUGCCUCCACCCCCAGACUAUUGUCAUUAGAGCGUAUCUUUUGUCCAACUGCAUUUCUACAUGGCCUUCCACUCUCCAUCGAACCUAAGCAUAAGAGACAGUUUUCCCUGGGUCUCUGGGUCUUCAACUCUGAAGGCUCCCCUGUCAUGUAAAACUUUGAUUAAAU
RNAcentral lists this long non-coding RNA (1004 nucleotides) under Homo sapiens (human). RNAcentral describes it as "HSALNT0110725". Lineage: Eukaryota; Metazoa; Chordata; Mammalia; Primates; Hominidae. The record is from RNAcentral.